This 447-nucleotide ribosomal RNA is filed under the name uncultured bacterium. Its description in RNAcentral is "partial 16S ribosomal RNA". It matches the Rfam family "Bacterial small subunit ribosomal RNA", at positions 29 to 523 of the family's 1533-position model. The record is from RNAcentral.
AACGAACGCUGGCGGCAGGCUUAACACAUGCAAGUCGAGCGCCCCGCAAGGGGAGCGGCAGACGGGUGAGUAACGCGUGGGAAUCUACCCAUCUCUACGGAAUAACGCAUGGAAACGUGUGCUAAUACCGUAUACGUCCUUCGGGAGAAAGAUUUAUCGGAGAUGGAUGAGCCCGCGUUGGAUUAGCUAGUUGGUGGGGUAAAGGCCUACCAAGGCGACGAUCCAUAGCUGGCCUGAGAGGAUGAUCAGCCACACUGGGACUGAGACACGGCCCAGACUCCUACGGGAGGCAGCAGUGGGGAAUAUUGGACAAUGGGCGCAAGCCUGAUCCAGCCAUGCCGCGUGAGUGAUGAAGGCCCUAGGGUUGUAAAGCUCUUUCACCGGUGAAGAUAAUGACGGUAACCGGAGAAGAAGCCCCGGCUAACUUCGUGCCAGCCGCCGCAGUAA